AAUCAACGCUGGCGGCGUGCCUCAGACAUGCAAGUCGAACGAGAAAGUCCCCUUCGGGGGGAUAAGUAAAGUGGCGCACGGGUGAGUAACACGUAGGUAAUCUACCUUCGGGUGGGGAAUAACCCAGGGAAACUUGGGCUAACACCGCAUAAUGCAGCGGCACCACAUGGUGACAGUUGUUAAAGCGGGGGAUUUUCGGACCUCGCGCCUGAAGAGGAGCCUGCGGCGGAUUAGCUAGUUGGUAAGGAACGGCUUACCAAGGCAACGAUCCGUAGCCGGCCUGAGAGGGCGGUCGGCCACACUGACACUGACAUACGGGUCAGACUCCUACGGGAGGCAGCAGUCGGGAAUUUUGGGCAAUGGGCGAAAGCCUGACCCAGCAACGCCGCGUGAAGGAU
RNAcentral lists this ribosomal RNA (398 nucleotides) under uncultured bacterium. Its description in RNAcentral is "bacterial SSU rRNA". It matches the Rfam family "Bacterial small subunit ribosomal RNA", at positions 32 to 409 of the family's 1533-position model. The record is from RNAcentral.